CUCUUACUGAAGUGCCACAAUUUGAAUUGCAUGUUCAUGGAAGGGCAAUUAAAAUAUCAGAACUUAAUACAUACUGUGGUUAAGGAGAUCACUUAUGAGAGGUUGCAAGAGGAGAACAAAAUUGCGUAGAAGUGUACAAGGCUGGGCAUGAAAUGAGAGUAACAACAAUGGAUUCUAGCCUCUGGGUGUUGUAAGGUGUGUUGACUAAUAUAUAG
Long non-coding RNA from Lolium rigidum, 215 nucleotides. RefSeq lists it as uncharacterized. Lineage: Eukaryota; Viridiplantae; Streptophyta; Magnoliopsida; Poales; Poaceae. The record is from RefSeq and is a predicted model, not a curated record. The transcript is spliced from 3 exons.